Pteropus alecto (black flying fox) is the source of this 6847-nucleotide long non-coding RNA. RefSeq lists it as uncharacterized. NCBI's taxonomy places the organism in Eukaryota, Metazoa, Chordata, Mammalia, Chiroptera, Pteropodidae. The record is from RefSeq and is a predicted model, not a curated record. The transcript is spliced from 3 exons.
GGUAGUGGGCAGGGCUGGGAAACGGGACAGUCCGUGGGGUAAGGAGGUGGCCGGCAGGUGCGGUUUCAGAGGGGAUGACAACUCGUAGGUGAGAACUGGGCCUCUCUGGGUCACUGAGGCUUCCUUCCAUCCCCACAUUUCCAUGCAGACCAGGAAGUGGGGGAAGGGAGGUCAUUGUCCUGAGACUUCCUCUCUCUGGCUGGGGGUAGGGGGAGUGCCUCGUCGUGGGGGCCUAUUGUUCCCACACAAAGGGGCAGUGAUAAGUAGGUUGUUUGCAGCUUCUGGUGCCAGUGGGAGAGGCUGCCUCCUUGCCCCAGGCCCUGCCGCAUGGGGUACCAGACGAUGCGAGGCCUCGGCUCCCCAAUGGCAGCAGAGGACGGGCUGGGGCUUGUACCUGAAUCACAAAAGAGGCAUUGAUGGGCCGUGGGCAGGCCGAGGAGGUCAAGGACCAAGCCGGACAGCACUGGGCUGGCACAGGCUGCUCCUGGGCCCCUGAGCGGCACCCUCACUUCUCUGUACUUCAGUCCUGCCCCCCUUUCUUUCCCUUCCUUCCCUCCUUCACGUCUCCCUCCCUCCUUCCCCCCACCCUUCGCUUUCUCCCGCUUCCCUUCCACUCUUGUCAUCUGCAACUUUCCGGCCUGUACAGCGGGCACCCACUGCUCCCCAUCCUCCCUUCCGGCCCAGGGUCCUGAGCCCUCCUGUUCUCCUCUCUGGAUACCCCUACUCUAGCACCCCGCACCCCUUGUCUUCAGAUCAGCCCCGGCCUAUUCUGCUUCCCGCGUCUGCUCCCCUCCCCUCAUCAAAACUUACCUGUCCUGAGUCCCAGCGCCCUCACGGCCCUGCGGGGUGGAUGGACGGCUUGGUGCUUGGGCCAAAGAUCUGUUUACCACACUAGUUAUCUGGCCGAUCUGAUCUCAUUUGGGCCGAGGCAUCUAAUGGAGUCCCUGACUUAAUGUGUUCUCUGUCUCUCAGGUCACGGUGGCCUGAUCAGGGCUCCUCCUUGCCUUGAUUCUACAGCUUCAGGUCUGGGGGGAGACGUGCCACAGCUCUGGGUGUGCCCACUUCCUCCUCAGGCCGAGCACCUCCGCUCUCCUAGGGACCCAGCAGGUGCUCUGCCUCCGUGAGCCCAUGGCCAGGGAUGGACAUGACCUGGCCCCGGCUGCCUGUUCUCUGCUCCCGCUCUUUGUGCUCCUGGUGUACACCUGCGUCUCACCUACCACCAACUCCCGCUUUCUCGGGUCGACCAUUUGUCUGAUAAACUAGUUCACACCAAGGCUACAGCUCCAGUUUCCUGGAGCCUCUGCAUUUUUCAAUGACAGUCCGAGGGAUCAAUCUGGUCUCAAAAGAGUGGCAUUUUGGCGAGAUGGGCAGGCGGAUUGGGUGGCCUUCUUGCUCGGAUGAGACUAUAUGCACGUUCACAUAAUCACCCUGUGUCGCCCACAGGGGGGCCUGUCUUCUUUAAUUAGCACAUAGAGGUCACUCCUGCACGUCGGCCAGAUGACGGUGUGCGUGGGAGAGGGCAGCGAAUGACGAACCUCCCCGUUGGCACCUGCACUUUGCUUUUCCCUGCGCUCAGAAGGGCCAUUCCGUGAGGCUUGCAAAUCACCUGCCAACAUCAAGAUGUAGAGGCUGAUAAGUCAGAUCUGGGCGGAGCCUGAAACUGGACUUCUGACAAGCUGCCAGGGGAACAAGACUGUUUCUGGAAAAGGAAUCAAGACGAGACACACCUCGUAGGAUGAGAUGAGACAGGGUCUCACCUGGAGACUUUAAAGUGUGUGCACGGAGCAAGCAGUCAGUGGUGGAAGCAACCGGUUCGAAGCAUCCUUAAAAGCUCCUGUUCUUUGAACUCAGGGCAGAGAGCCGAGCGGCCACCCGGGCAGUUGGCAGUGUGCGAGGAUUCGCGGAGACAGCCGAGCGGAGGUGCCGGGACGUGACGCUGGCCCCACCGGUGCCUCCUCGGUUAGUGGGAAAUAGAGAAGGAGGCACCGGAGUGAAGGCCAGUGGGACGAAAGGAGGGGUUUCUUCUGAGAGCAAGAGGUCAGAUGGGCAGAGGCUGCGGGGUGGAAGGACUCGCCUCUGGGAAGGAGGUAGCUGUCAUCAAGAAUCUCCCCUGGAGUGAAUGCUUUGUGGGCGCUAACUCAGUUACUCCGCGAAGGAGCAGCCAAGGGAGAUGUUUUUAUGCCCGUUUUACAGGUGCAAAGCUGAGGCUCCUUUAAGGAUGCAGUCAUUUAAAGCCCCAGGCAUGUCAGCAGUAAGCAGUCUGCGGUUUACCAAGCCUUCCAGGCGAUUCUGUGGCUCGAGCCAUGGGUCCAGGGUUGUGUGGCGGUGGCCUCUUUUUCAGAAAGGACAUUUCAGCUCUAAAAACUGAGACGUAGCAUCUGUGAAAGCUCAAUAGGAAAAAUCAUUAGCACAAGACGACCUUCUAGAAGCAUUCUGUGGAUUCUUCAGGCAACUGAUUUCUGGGCAUAGACUAAGGGACGGAAGAGAUUUGCAACUGCGUAGAAUCGACGUGUUUAUACAAAGCUUAUUCUCUUGUGGACGAAGAUUCAAGCCCCCUCCCUUUUCAAGCAGAAUCAGGGCAAGGUGACAGUUUGUAUAUUUGCCGAUGUUCGGGUAAGGUAAGACCUUUGUCUUUAAAAGAUUUUGUUGACUGCGGGCUUUCAGAGAUGUGUUGUCUUAACCUGUGGCUCUGUCGAACCUGAGCUAGUAUCUCACUACUGAACUGAUGGUGAAGGUUUGUUGAGUGUUUACUAUGUGCCUGAUAUUUUUGAAUGUGCUUUACAAGUCUUGCUUCCUGAAUCCCCCCAAUGAGCCCAUGAAACAGGUACUGUUACUAUUCUUAGUUACAGAUGGGGUCAUGGAGGCCCAGAGAGGUUCGGUAACUUUCCCUCGAUCAGUAACUUUCCCUAGAAGUGUCGUUGCCAAGACAGGAGCCCGGGUAGGUUUGUUUUCUUUUUUAAACAUUUUACUUUGCACGUGUCAAACAUAUACAGAAGUAGAGAAAGUAGCCUAAUGAACCUCCACGUGUCCGUCACUCACUCUGAAGAACGAUCAACAUUCUGCCGUCUCGUUUUAUCUCUUUCUUAGCUUUCACAGCACGUGUGGUGGUGUUUUCUGGAAUGGUUUAAUCCUGAGUAUCAUAUCGUUUUGCCCGUAAAUACCUUAUUAAGUGUAUGUAACACGUAAGGACUUUUCCUCUUUUAUGUGACCAUAUACUGUUCUCACACCCCAAAAAUGAUUCCUGUGUAUCAUCUAAUACUUGGUCUGUGUUCCGUUUUCCCCAAUGGCCCCAAACUGUCUUUUUGCAGCUGGUAUGUUCGAAUCAGGGUGCAACCCCCCAACACUGCAUUCGGUUGAUGUUCUUUAGUCUGUUCUGAUCUGUAACAGUUUCCCACUUAAAUUCCCCAUUCCAUUUACUUAUAAAAUAUUCUGGAUUUUGUUCUUUACUGCUGUCUUGCUGCUGUCAUUUAACGUGUUUUUCUGUCUCUUAUAUUUCCUUGAAACCGGGACUUAGAACCAAAGGUGGAAUUUCAUUCGGGUUUAAUUUUCUGGAAAGACUCUUUCGCGGGUGCCACUCCCCCGCUCUGUCAUGCAGGCUAUCUAGUGACUCAGUUUUAAUGAUGUGAAGAUCGUCCCACGGGUUCAGGUGGUGUCAGCCUGGUCAGUUGAUGACACAGCUCCACGUCAGUCUUUCAUCUGCCUUAGCAGCCGUCAGUCACCAGCGAGUGCCAUCGAGGUCUGUUAUGUCAUAUAGGAUAGCAAAAUGGUGAUUUUCUAACCCGACCGUUUCGGUCUAUAUGCAUUAGUGAACUUCCCGCUCCAAGAGUCUGCUCACAUCGACUACUUGCUAACACAAGCCGUUUGACUUAAGAGUUUAUGCCCCGAAUCUGUGCUUCUCAAUUUUUCAUGUGCACAGAAAUCACCCGAGGGGCUUGUUAGAAUGCAGAUUCUGACUCCGUAGGUCUGGGGGGGACCUGAGGGUUUGCAUUUUUACUAAGUCCUCAAGUGAUAGGGAUGCUGCUCGUCUGAGGACCACACUUUGAAUAGCAAGGCCCGUCGAUCACCUAUUUUGCUUCUCAAUUACAUUUUCCUGACUGGUUCUUUCUUCUACAGAAUUUUUGGCUUAUCUGUGCAUCGACAAGCUACUCCGAUGCUAAACUAUGGUUCUGCAUUUACCCUUACAGAGGCAAGGUUAGUGGUUUUGAAACUUAAGUCUCCCUUCCAAGUCACCUUCCUGCUGUAAACUAAACUCCGGAGUGUGUUAUUCAGACUACAAAAUGUUAUCAUAGCUUAGGAUUUUCUGAGAAAAAUGGACCCAUCACAUAAUGUCAUACUGAAGGUGUAAUUUUUAUUGGGUUUGUGUGUGUGUCUCGCAUUUCGUUAAAAGUCCAAUGUUUUCCUAAGAGGAUAUGGUGACUUGGUGCUGUGCCAGGAGCAGACACAUCGUCUUCCGGUGUGACGUUUGUAGAAACAGCUGAGGACUCUGCCUGUCCUGUGUCUAGUCCCCCUUCUUUCGUCAGCAGAAACUUGGUGUCGCUUUGGAGAACUAUCUGCCUGAGGUGUUCUGCUCUUGCUCAGUCAAGGGCCGGGCCAAGCAGACCCUCUCCCUUCAUGAAUUUAAGUCUUGACUAGAACAUCAGGAUGAAAACGGUUGGAGCUCAAUUAUUUUAACAGCAGUGCCGAGAAGGAACUGUCCUCUGUGUCUUCCCUCUCAGUUUCCUAGAAAUGCCUUGGUCCCCUCUUUUCUAGAGUUGAAUACUCUUUCUUUGAAAAUGUGGGGUACCCCAUAAUUCCCCACGAAUUCUUUUCUGCUUAAUUUAGCCAGAAUCGUGCUCUGUUGCCGACGACCGAGAAACCCUAACUGAGCCUCCAUCACAGUCUAAAAAUGGUGGGACACGCCCGUUGGUGCCGUGGCGGGGAGGAGAUGGGCAGGCUGACAGGCGAGCGCUGUAGGGCUUUUGUUGUUUGACUUAGCGAUGACAGCAGCACUGAUCACUGCCAUCGUGGCGACGCAUCAGACAACCCUGAAAGCAGUAGUGAAAUGAGGAGUCGGGGCAAUGAGAAACCCCCUCGGAAUGACAUUUCUUUCUCUUGACCUCCAUGGAAUUUGGUGUUAUGAAGUCCACUUUUGCCCACUAGUCAGAGGGGCGUGUGCUUUACAAGCUAAUUUCAGGUGUUUGAGGCCAGAGCAAGAAACUGCCAGCAUCCGAGAUCGGGUCCUGUCAUAGGAUCCUCACUUCUCUGCCUCCCACAGCAACUUCAUCAACACCUGGAGCUGCAGCCAUUGCGAUCCCAGUGACACCCCGAAUCAUCAGAAAAGCCAUGUUCUCUAUAUUCUGCUGAAGACGGUAGAGAGUGAUUUCCAGCUGGAGAAGAUAGAUGGAUACACAUCCUCCCUAAUUCCUAAUGAAGUAAAUUACUAAACAAACAAAUUUAAAAAGCAAGACAGCUGCAAAUAAAUACAAAUAAUAACCAAAUGAGGAAUCACUUUUGUGUCUAGAAGAGUCGUGACCUUGUAAAGAACCAGAAAGUUCUGAUGUAGUGCUGCUCUCGAGUGCAAACCAAUCUUCCCAAGAAGAGAAAGGGGGGUUGAUGAAAAAAUUAGCGUUUUUACUAAUACUCUUCAUUUUAGAGAGAAACAGAAUCUCUAGAAGAGAAGGACAGAGUAGGCAGCCAUGCGAAAAGAUCCCUUGAGCUUGGAAGGCCCUAAAUGUCACCUUGAAACCUUAGGGCAGAGGAGGAGUUGCCAAGGCCUGCCAUCGUGGAGGGAGCCAAAAACCACAGAAGUGCGAUACAGCCUUGGCUGGAUGGAACAGACCUUGGUUUCUGACGUUCGGUGGCACCCCAAAAGGGAGAGCAGAGUCCAGGCUCCCAGGAGAAGUCCGCUGGCCAUGCUCCUCACCCCAUCACCUUCCCUGUCCCCAUCUCUGUGUCCCCAGACUGUAGACAAGUGGAGAGCUGAGUAAAAUCCACCGCCACACUGUAGCCUGCAAGACAGUGAGCCCCAGAUAAUGUGGAAAGGCAGAGGGGGGCGUGUCGAGGAAAAUUCCCUCACUCUGUAGAGUAAAUAGAUGUGUACAGAGCUGUACUCAAUAAACUUGAAUAAGAUAAAGGCCUGGUAUGGCAACCAUACAAACACACGACAGCAAGCAACAGCAGCAGACUAAAGAAAGGGGCCAUAAAAAUGAAUGAACGAAUGAAUGAAUGAAUGGCCUGUGCUGGAUGGAAACAUACUCCAGGAACUACCUAUGAACGUUUUGGAUGAGAGAAGAACUUAAUAAGACUGAGUUUGGUAAAACAAGACCUCCAAAGUGAGAUGACGUGAUAUUAUAGAAUAAGGUUUUAAAAGAUUUCAGAGCAAAAGAAACACACUGAGUUCAAAAAAUAAUAUUGAAGAUGAUACAUCAAGAGAAAUUAUUAAGACAUCACUGAAAGAUCAAAUUAUUGACAAAAAAGAAUUGAUGAAAUGAUUCUGGGAAAUACACAGGGAAAAGGCAAAGAUUAGGUUAGAGUUGAUGAUAGCAAGAGAGGAUAAAGAUGACCCAGUAUAACGAUAACUGACAUCUCUGAAUAAGGGACCCGACAAAGGAAACGGGGGACAAUAGCUCAGAGAUAAAUCAUCGGAAAUAAAGUACGAACCUUUAGAUCAAAAGGGCAUCAGGAAAAAAAAUGAUACGUGCGUAUUGGCGUUAAGCUGUAUCCUGGAUAAGAUAUUGAACUUGGAGGAUAAACAAAGACUUCUCAGACAUUCAGGCAGAAGAAGCCCACAAGGGGAAAAAGUCAAGUGAACCAGACUCAUUAAGAGAAGACAAUGGGGCAAUGUCUAGAAUGUUCCGAAGGAAAAAAA